GGGGUCUUAGCUCAGCUGGGAGAGCGCCUGCCUUGCACGCAGGAGGUCACCGGUUCGAUCCCGGUAGACUCCA
Molecule: transfer RNA, 73 nt
Organism: Nitratiruptor sp. SB155-2
Lineage: Bacteria; Pseudomonadati; Campylobacterota; Epsilonproteobacteria; Nautiliales; Nitratiruptoraceae
Rfam family: tRNA
About the family: Transfer RNA (tRNA) molecules are approximately 80 nucleotides in length.
Source: Rfam